UACGUAGGUCCCGAGCGUUGUCCGGAUUUAUUGGGCGUAAAGCGAGCGCAGGUGGUUUAUUAAGUCUGGUGUAAAAGGCAGUGGCUCAACCAUUGUAUGCAUUGGAAACUGGUAGACUUGAGUGCAGGAGAGGAGAGUGGAAUUCCAUGUGUAGCGGUGAAAUGCGUAGAUAUAUGGAGGAACACCGGUGGCGAAAGCGGCUCUCUGGCCUGUAAUUGACACUGAGGCUCGGAAGCGUGGGGAGCAAACAGG
This 252-nucleotide ribosomal RNA is filed under the name uncultured bacterium. RNAcentral describes it as "partial 16S ribosomal RNA". It matches the Rfam family "Bacterial small subunit ribosomal RNA", at positions 524 to 776 of the family's 1533-position model. The record is from RNAcentral.